GUGCCCCUCUGUGCCCCACAGCUUCCUGCUGGACCGGCUGCUGCAGUACGAACAGGUGGAUGACGAUUCCUCAGAUUCCGACGCCACCGCCUCCUCAGACAGCGACGGGGAAACGCCAAAAGGGGCGGAGCCGCCUCCCCUUAAAAGGAAGCGCAGCCCCACGGGGGGUGGAGCCUCACCACCGCCCGCCCCCGGCCUGGCUCCGCCCACUUCCUACCUGAGCACGCUGGCCUCCCCCCCCAUACAGCCCCUUCCCAGCUGAUUACCUGGCCCCCCCCGAGCGGCCGCGCGGCCCCACGCGCCGCAAUAAAGGAUCCCGACGCCUGCAGGUACGCGCUCACCCUGCCC
Meleagris gallopavo (turkey) is the source of this 348-nucleotide non-coding RNA. The record is from RefSeq and is a predicted model, not a curated record. Lineage: Eukaryota; Metazoa; Chordata; Aves; Galliformes; Phasianidae.